GACGAACGCUGGCGGCGUGCUUAACACAUGCAAGUCGAACGGAAAGGCCCUGCUUUUGUGGGGUGCUCGAGUGGCGAACGGGUGCGUAACACGUGAGUAACCUGCCCUUGACUUUGGGAUAACUUCAGGAAACUGGGGCUAAUACCGGAUAGGAGCUCCUGCUGCAUGGUGGGGGUUGGAAAGUUUCGGCGGUUGGGGAUGGACUCGCGGCUUAUCAGCUUGUUGGUGGGGUAGUGGCUUACCAAGGCUUUGACGGGUAGCCGGCCUGAGAGGGUGACCGGCAACAUUGGGACUGAGAUACGGCCCAGACUCCUACGGGAGGCAGCAGUGGGGAAUAUUGCACAAUGGGCGGAAGCCUGAUGCAGCAACGCCGCGUGCGGGAUGACGGCCUUCGGGUUGUAAACCGCUUUCGCCUGUGACGAAGCGUGAGUGACGGUAAUGGGUAAAGAAGCACCGGCUAACUACGUG
RNAcentral lists this ribosomal RNA (468 nucleotides) under uncultured bacterium. RNAcentral describes it as "partial 16S ribosomal RNA". It matches the Rfam family "Bacterial small subunit ribosomal RNA", at positions 28 to 507 of the family's 1533-position model. The record is from RNAcentral.